GCUUCGGUAGCUCAAUCUGGCAGAGUAUCCGUUUCGUAAGCGGAAUGUUGCGGGUUCGAUUCCCGCCCGAAGCUCCA
RNAcentral lists this transfer RNA (77 nucleotides) under Caudoviricetes sp. Its description in RNAcentral is "tRNA-Thr". It matches the Rfam family "tRNA". From Rfam's summary of the family: Transfer RNA (tRNA) molecules are approximately 80 nucleotides in length. Lineage: Duplodnaviria; Heunggongvirae; Uroviricota; Caudoviricetes. The record is from RNAcentral.